CCUACGGGAGGCAGCAGUGGGGGAUAUUGCACAAUGGGGGGAACCCUGAUGCAGCGACGCCGCGUGGGUGAAGAAGCGCCUCGGCGCGUAAAGCUCUGUCAUCAGGGAAGAAAAUGACGGUACCUGAAGAAGAAGCCCCGUCUAACUACGUGCCAGCAGCCGCGUGAAUACGUAGGGGGCAAGCGUUAUCCGGAUUUACUGGGUGUAAAGGGGGCGCAGACGGCGAUGCAAGCCAGGAGUGAAAGCGCGGGGCCCAACCCCGAGACUGCUCUUGGAACUGCGUGGCUGGAGUGCAGGAGGGGCAGGCGGAAUUCCUGGUGUAGCGGUGAAAUGCGUAGAUAUCAGGAGGAACACCGGUGGCGAAGGCGGCCUGCUGGACUGCAACUGACGUUGAGGCCCGAAAGCGUGGGGAGCAAACAGGAUUAGAUACCCUAGUAGUC
Molecule: ribosomal RNA, 440 nt
Filed under: uncultured bacterium
Lineage: Bacteria
Description: partial 16S ribosomal RNA
Rfam family: Bacterial small subunit ribosomal RNA
Source: RNAcentral